UUCAAGCUGCGACGGCAGUCCACAAGCGUCGCAUCGGCUUACUCGCCCGCAUCGGCCUCAAGGUUUCCUUCCUCGCUUCCUCGUCUCCUCGCUCUCUCCACCCUUUCCCCGCUGCUGCCUCGCAUCCGCUCAGAUCGUCACGCUCGGAGUGCGACCACCUCACAGCUGUGUCUGCGUCGUCAUUGAGCCUACAGAGUCCGCCCGAACCGCCACGGUACCAGGAUCCGGCUGUCGCGCCGCCUGGAGCGAUGAGGAGGAAGGGAUGGCGACGAACGGCUCGCGGCACUUGGAGGCCGUUUGAGGCUGCACAGGGCGACUACCCAGGCUGAUUUACCGACUUGACGGCUUCGUCCACCUCCUCGACUGUGCAACAGGCCGGCUCAGCGCGGAGCGGAUCCAGUAGGGCGUCUCCACGCCCGCUCGACUGGCUUCUUGAACACAAGCACACGCCAAACGGUCUCGCUCGACCCGCCUCUUCCAGCAUCGCAGCUGUAUCGACAUGACGUGCGUACUGAAGAUCAACUUCGGGCGGGACUUUCCAGCAAUAUAGCUUGGAAGUCCAACCCCGACUGGGUGUUGGGACAGUCUCUCCGAGGUACGAGGCGGGAUCAAGACGGUGGUCCAGGCGUAGUAGCUCCAGCGCUCUCUCUUACCGUCGUCAAGACCAUAAGGUAGGCCUUCGCCCGUGUCAGUCGCCCGUUCACC
This 705-nucleotide unclassified non-coding RNA is filed under the name Rhodotorula toruloides. Lineage: Eukaryota; Fungi; Basidiomycota; Microbotryomycetes; Sporidiobolales; Sporidiobolaceae. The record is from RNAcentral.